This 46-nucleotide non-coding RNA is filed under the name Schistosoma mattheei. The record is from RNAcentral. Lineage: Eukaryota; Metazoa; Platyhelminthes; Trematoda; Strigeidida; Schistosomatidae.
CCACUUCUGAGGAGUCCCACAAUAGGACAAAACGGCCGUCCAGUGC